UUUGCGGCCACAUGGCUUUGAGAUCGAGCCGCUCCUGCAACGGUUUUAGACCCCAAUGAGGCCAUACGGAGCAGUGCUGCCAUCAUGUCAACUCCGUCUGACCACCGACCACCAAUUGUACGGGAUUUCAGCUGAGAAAGGUGGACAGACCACACCCUGAAGAAGCCCACUAUAUCCAUUACUACAACUGCACGAGACUAGAACCAUUAAUGGAAAAGGAACAGGGAUGUCAGCAAAGACCUAGCAACAGCCAACACCUCAUGGAAAGAGGUGAAGAAAACUAACUACAGGUGACCGGAAGCAGUGGAUCCGGAGGUACUUCACCGAGGCUCUUGCUCCCCUUGCUCUUGCUCCCUGAUGGAGGGACUUCCUGAUUCUGGUACUGAAGAGGACUGAGUGAGUACCACCAUUGCUGUAGAGGCCAGGGAUACCCGGGAGCAUUUGAUUGAGUGAUAGACACAACCCCUGACAGCAGCCCAAGAUAGGAAGACCUGGCUACACCUCUGCAAAGUCUGCCUUGUCCCCCUGGUGACCAGUGUCGGUUAUGGAACUAGGUGCUACUUUAGCAGAAGGCUGUCAGUUCCAUUGUCCAUUGUACUCUGCUAGCAACUGAGAUGCAAGCUGAUACACCACUUAUCACUGUUCCCGGCCUCUCUGGAAUGACAGCCACUUCAAAUAUGCAGGGCCUAAGACUGACAAGUCCCUGUGCUACCAGAUAAAUCCUGAUUUAUGAUUGAAAAUGUACCUUUAGUCAUUACUUUAUGAUAUUACAGGUCAUUCUUUUAACUGGUAUGUAAUUAUGCAUCAAAUUGUAUUUUGGGCCUGACAGAUAUUGCAUAUUAUUCAUUAAUGUGUUUUUUGGAAAUAUUGUAAAGACCAAGAGGCAAUAUAUGUACAUGUAUGUCUUAUUUUCCAUAUACAGUACUAUUGACAGCUGUGUGAAAUGC
This is a long non-coding RNA of Branchiostoma belcheri (Belcher's lancelet), 947 nucleotides long. RefSeq lists it as uncharacterized. The record is from RefSeq and is a predicted model, not a curated record. NCBI's taxonomy places the organism in Eukaryota, Metazoa, Chordata, Leptocardii, Amphioxiformes, Branchiostomatidae. The transcript is spliced from 6 exons.